UUCCUGCAGUAAAAUGCAAGACGUGUGAAGGAGAAACUCCUCUUCUCCUUCCUUCUGAUGAGAGUGCUGCCCUGUGAGAACGUGAUAUGGGGUAGAUGGCAGACAUCUUGGAAGAAGGAAAGAAAGGCCAACGGAAGCACAGGGAUUGCAAACCACUGCCCUGAUACCAAAAAGCCUCUGAAUCAACCCUGGAACUGGGAGGUGGAGAGUUAUUUAUUUUUGUAAAUAACUCUUAGCUUUUCCAUAACUCUUAGCUUGUCUAUAACUCACAGAUAAUAGCAUCUUAACUGAUAAUACUGAUAUGAUCUCAAGAGUAUGUUCUAUAAACAAAAGUGUUGCGUAGUCAGCUGAGUUAGAAAAACGUUGUAUAUUAUAUCCAACUCUUUGUAUUUCAUUUUUGCAAAUUAAAGGCUAUGAGAAGACCUGCAGUUAAAAAAUAAAAACUGUUUAGCUUUUUUUAACAUGGUAUUUCCUAAAAUUAAUCAUAUGAUCAUUUUAAAGACUCCUUAAUAUCUUCAAGAUAUUAAGCACUUCACAGUGUCUGUUUUGGAAAAAUUAAUUUAGGCUUCGUGAGAAAAAGAAAGGAGAUCCUAACACCAAGUAUUGGAUACGCCAAUUCCUACACAGCCUCGAUGGGGCACAAAACAGAAAGCGCAGCUUUAUCUUUCUAAAUCAUCUGCUAUUUCCAGGAGGCCAAGGAAAAGGAAUAAAUUUGACAACUAUCCACUUAUAUCCCUGAAUUCUGACAACAGAAUGCACUAAUGAAGGACCCUCGACAUGAUAACACGGCCACAGUCCAGUCAUCCUGGAUAGCAAAUCUGGAAAUGCAUUUUGACUGCUGCACUUAGGACACAUUUUUAUUGUGGCUUGCAGACAGUUACCCUUCAACGAUGUGGUAACUAAACAGAUUUCUAAUUUUCUUCCACUCUCUUUCUAAGAAAGCAAAAUGAGAUUGAGGAAAAUGCAUUUCAUUGAGAUGGACAGGAUGAACCAGUAAUUCAGACUACAGGAAAAAAGCAGUAAGACAGUUCAGAAAAGCUUAAAAAUCUUGAAGUCUGUUCCAUGAAGGAAAGGGUCACAACGAAUGUCGGCACAGGUACUUGGAGGAAAGUGGGUAGAGAGGGCCAUACUGAGAUACUGCAUAAAACAAAUAUGCAUAAAAGAAACAGAAAACCUUGUCUCACUUUCUCGGUUUCAUGCACCUGGAUUCUGUUGUUUAUUUUACCCAAGUACUUCACAAACCUGAUGCCAACAGCAACUGUGAAAUGGAAGCAACUCUACAAAUUAUUGCCAUCAUGAGACUAUCAUUAGGUCUACAUAGCUCAAGCUUCACUUGGAGUUCAAUUGUGUGAUUCAGAAGCACAGCUAGGAUAAGUCAGAGACUGGAAAGGGGAAGAGGAGAGACGUGCAGGAUAUUUUUUUUUAACCAGUGAAACAACUCCCGACUUCCAGGACCAGACAAUAUACUUAAUGCACAAAACCAAUAUAUUUUAUGGCCUAAAUGAAAAAAAGUAAAGUGGAAGGUCGGGCGCUGUUCCUUUAAGAUGCUUCCAGAAUCAAAUACCACUCUUGAAAGGGCUGCCAAACAAUGUAUCCAGGUAAAGAAUGAAAAAAAUAUAUUCAGAGGAAAGGCAGGAGGAUGUGUGGAAAGCUCAGUGAGAUUAUGGAAGUGCAGUAAUUGAAUAUGACACAAGAGUCAAGUGCAAGAGGGAACUGGCUGGAGUGCAGUGGCGCAAUCUCAGCUCACUGAAACCUCCACCUCCCAGGUUCAAGUGAUUCUCCUGCCUCAGCCUCCCGAGUACCUGGGAUUCCAG
This 1814-nucleotide long non-coding RNA is filed under the name Homo sapiens (human). RNAcentral's name for it is "HSALNT0384365". Lineage: Eukaryota; Metazoa; Chordata; Mammalia; Primates; Hominidae. The record is from RNAcentral.